RNAcentral lists this small RNA (954 nucleotides) under Arabidopsis thaliana (thale cress). RNAcentral describes it as "ATSL300270". The record is from RNAcentral. Lineage: Eukaryota; Viridiplantae; Streptophyta; Magnoliopsida; Brassicales; Brassicaceae.
AUGAAUGACUAUUUUAAUGUAUCUUAAAAAGAUAUCAUAUUUUUGAUGGUCAAAGUUUUUUCAAGAACUUAAAUUAUCACCAGAAAUUGAGAAAAUAAAUAUGGUAAAAAAAAAAAAAAAUAAGAAAAAUUUCUAACGAUGAAAUAAUCUAGUAUAUCAAGUAGUAUAAAUCUUAUUAAAAGACUCUAGAAGAGCAUAUACAUUGCUUUCUAUGGGAAUACAAAAUUAAAAUCAUCGAUGGGGUAUAAUUCUCCAAAUCUUAAAGUUAAUAUGAUGAGAUAUAAAAUACAUUAUGAUUCUAGAGUGGAAUUAAAAACGAGAUAGAUGAACUUGAAGUUUCAUCAUUUCGAGGAGGAGAAAUAAUGAAUCUCACAUCGAUAAUAAGUGACAUAUCCAGAAGAUUAUGUUCAAUCUUUGACUACUAAAGAUCUAAAAGUUGUAUAAAGCAAUUCUUAUACGAAUGUGUUAUCAGAUAAAAUAAGAUAUAAUUAGUUAUUACUGAAACUUCAAGACUUGAAGUCUCUUUGUGAAUAUAACUCACAUUGUUAAGAGAAUAUCUAUGAUGCAGAGAUGGUAAAACAGACGCUUAAACUUUUACGCAAGUAUUGUUGUCCUGUAGACACAAUAUUUUGAAAGAAAUUUUGAGAACUAUUAUAAACUUAAAUCGAGUGUUUUUCAAAGGCUAAGAAAAUAUAUGAGUUAUCGAUGAUAGGUAAUACUCAUAUUCUGAAGUGAAUAUAAGAUCUUACAUAGUUAGUCAAAUUUAAUAUCGUUUAUACUAGAAUAUAAAAUUUUAAUUAUUAUCUCGUUAUUGUUUUAUUAACAUAUGAUUGAUUAUUAAAAUACAUGGACGUAAUUUUGAUUAUAAGAUCUCAUUAAGGGAGUAACUGAUAAGCAAUGAAAAAUAAAUUAGAAGUUUUGAAAGAACUAGAAGUUUCAAAUGAAUUAAAAAUU